This 497-nucleotide ribosomal RNA is filed under the name uncultured bacterium. Its description in RNAcentral is "partial 16S ribosomal RNA". It matches the Rfam family "Bacterial small subunit ribosomal RNA", at positions 30 to 523 of the family's 1533-position model. The record is from RNAcentral.
AUUGAACGCUGGCGGCAUGCCUUACACAUGCAAGUCGAACGGUAACAGGUCUUCGGAUGCUGACGAGUGGCGAACGGGUGAGUAAUACAUCGGAACGUGCCUAGUAGUGGGGAUAACUACUCGAAAGAGUGGCUAAUACCGCAUGAGAUCUACGGAUGAUAGCAGGGGAUCGCAAGACCUUGUGCUACUAGAGCGGCCGAUGGCAGAUUAGGUAGUUGGUGGGAUAAAAGCUUACCAAGCCGACGAUCUGUAGCUGGUCUGAGAGGACGAUCAGCCACACUGGGACUGAGACACGGCCCAGACUCCUACGGGAGGCAGCAGUGGGGAAUUUUUGACAAUGGGCGCAAGCCUGAUCCAGCAAUGCCGCGUGCAGGAUGAAGGCCUUCGGGUUGUAAACUGCUUUUGUACGGAACGAAAAGCCCCGGGUUAAUACCCUGGGGUCAUGACGGUACCGUAAGAAUAAGCACCGGCUAACUACGUGCCAGCCGCCGCCGUAA